RNAcentral lists this ribosomal RNA (497 nucleotides) under uncultured bacterium. Its description in RNAcentral is "partial 16S ribosomal RNA". It matches the Rfam family "Bacterial small subunit ribosomal RNA", at positions 28 to 507 of the family's 1533-position model. The record is from RNAcentral.
GAUGAACGCUGGCGGCAUGCCUAAUACAUGCAAGUCGAGCGAAGAUAUUCUCUGCUUGCUGCGAUUUCGAGAGCAGCGGACGGGUGAGUAACACGUGGGUAACCUGCCUAUGAGAGGGGGAUAACUUCGGGAAACCGAUGCUAAUACCGCAUAAUGUUUUGGACCGCCUGGUUCAAUGACGAAAGACGGCUUUUCUGUCCCUUAUUGAUUGGUCCGCGCCGGAUUAGCUAGUUGGUAAGGUAACGGCUUACCAAAGCCUCGAUACGUAGCCGACCUGAGAGGGUGAUCGGCCACACUGGGACUGAGACACGGCCCAGACUCCUACGGGAGGCAGCAGUAGGGAAUCUUCCGCAAUGGGCGAAAGCCUGAUGGAGCAACGCCGCGUGAAUGAAGAAGGUCUUCGGAUCGUAAAGUUCUGUUAUUAGGGAAGAACAAGUCUAGAAGUAACUGUCCUGACUUUGACGGUACCUAACCAGAAAGUCACGGCUAACUACGUG